RNAcentral lists this ribosomal RNA (253 nucleotides) under uncultured bacterium. RNAcentral's name for it is "partial 16S ribosomal RNA". It matches the Rfam family "Bacterial small subunit ribosomal RNA", at positions 524 to 776 of the family's 1533-position model. The record is from RNAcentral.
GACGUAGGGCGCGAGCGUUGUCCGGAUUUAUUGGGCGUAAAGAGCUCGUAGGCGGCUUGUCGCGUCGACUGUGAAAUCCCGCGGCUCAACUGCGGGUCUGCAGUCGAUACGGGCAGGCUAGAGUUCGGUAGGGGAGACUGGAAUUCCUGGUGUAGCGGUGAAAUGCGCAGAUAUCAGGAGGAACACCGGUGGCGAAGGCGGGUCUCUGGGCCGAAAUUGACGCUGAGGAGCGAAAGCGUGGGGAGCAAACAGG